CUGAUGAUGCUGAUCGUCUUCACCAGCCAGUUCAGAUGUGGGAACAGUCAGUCAGCCUCUAAGAGCUCUUCUCUCCAGACGCAGAUUAAAGCAGCAGCAGCUGGACAAGUGGGAUAUCAGAGAAAGGAAACAUGGCAGCCUGGGGAUACAGAGACUCCAAAUACGACGAAGACGCUGCUGAUAACCCAGUUUCUGCCCUGUUUUCUGAGGGUGUAUUCGUAUUAAUGGAGAUGCGACUGAAUAAAAGAACUGCACCAUGUGAAAUCGUGCUCCAGUGGCCUGCACGCUGAUUGUUGGAUCUCCUGAAAAGGUGGGACCAUAGAUUAAGGUGAGUUCCUUUGGGCCCUUUGAUGUAACAAUAAACUGUAGGCCUACUUUAUAACAUGCUUUUCAGAUUUUGCAUAUUAUACUUUUACACACACAAUGCCUAGAAUACAGAGGAUUCAGGGCUUUGGACUUUACAGUCGACCUGCAAAAUCAUCUUAAAUAAUCUGCAUCAACAUCAUCGGCAAAAAUUCUAGCAAUUACUCAAACCUUUUGACAGACUUUCUUUAUAGUCUCCUUUAGACUUGCUCACUACUCCAGUCGCUGCUUCUGUUUAUUUUCCAAGAGCAUUUCACCUCAAUAUUCUCUCCUUAAUAAAUAAACACAAGAUUGUAUUGUAGCUGUGCACACUGUUGCCUUCCAUUUUUUGCUGCUCUUCUGUGCUUCUUUGCUCUUCAGGUGAGUCGUGAAUCAGCAGGAUGGGCAGGAAAGUUCUCCCUUCAGCCGAACUUCAGUGUCUUCACAUUACAGCCAAAGAUUAGACCACCAAAAACAGUGUGUCUAGACAGAGGUCACGCAGUGGGACAUCAAUGCUGUUUGUGCACUGAGAAUUCUACAAGAUUUUACAACCAGUUUACCUCCAUGGAAAACCUUCAGACGUCGUUGUGUGUUGACCUGCGGCUCAACGUGAUGAAAAUGUUUAUAAUUUUAGUUUUUGUUGAACGUCAGCUCAUGAUCUAAGGCCUUCUAGUCUCUUUCCCUUUUAUGAGUGAACUCCCUUUCUAACUCAGUCAUCACUCACCUUCCUUUACACAGAUUAUGGUAUUAAAGGAAAAGAACUACAUACAAGAUCACUAUGAGAUGGUAACAGUCCCAUUUUCCCCUUUAUUUUUGAUAUAUUUUUGUCUCUUAUGACAUAUGACAUUAGCUGUAAAUGGUGAUUAUAGACUAACUAUGUUACUGUGUACAUAAAGUUUGGAAGUAUAAUAGAAAAUAUACUAUAUGGAGAAAAGUAUUGGGACACCACUUUUUUGUCUUCUUUUUGAUGAAACCACUGUCUCUAACUGUCCAGGAAAUACUUUCUGUUAGAUUUUGGGAUUGCUGUGAGGAUUUGACUGCAUUCAGUGACACCUCACCUCAACCCCAACUCAUCCCAAAACGAUAGGCUGGAGCACACAUAGUGUAUAAUAUACAGACACACUGGCAGACACUGAAUUCUUGUCAUAAAAGUCCUAUGCAUUAAUGCCUGUCUUUCCUCAACUAAUACUAAUGCCUUUUUGGAAAGGAUUAAAGGGAAUUGUGGGCAAUAGUACUGGAACGUGUAACAGUAUGCUUUAUUUAGCUAUAAUAUUAUGUGCACCAUUAUUAAUAUUUAAAAUCAUUGAUAGUUGCACUUAUACCAUGCUGUUGAUGUAUUGGCAGUUUCUUUUAUAGGUAUAGAUCUUUCGCAAUGAAAUUGAGAUGCCCCCAGUGACCAGACUAUCCUGUAACUGUUUUUGCUUCUUGUGGAAUGGACGCACACUGUCUUUCCUUCAUCUUUUGAACAAUAGAACUGCUUUGUAGCUUCAGAGCUUACAGCACUAACACAGGAGAUCUAGAAGUGACACUCUCUUUUAACUGAAAUGAAACUGCAUUGAAACACCGAAAACUUCUUGUUACUAACAGUUUCUAACAACACUAACAAGUGGGCUGAGAGGAGAUUAAUACAGUUAAAAUAGGAACUCCUUGUAUACAAUUAAAAAUAAAGGCAGCGAAUAUUGGAGUGAUGGCAUUGAAGAGAGAUCUUUCAAUUGGGACCUUGAAUUCAGUUUACAGUCCUGGGAUUUGUAAUCCUUGGUAAGUGCCAAGUGUCAUUAUUUGAAACUGGCUGCAGGGUCCAAACUGGAAGACCCGAGUCAUAGAAGAACACCUUCACCCUCUCUGAGUGGUUAAGCAGACCAAGGAUGCUGCCACAUGGGCCUGAGGAUCACAGCCAGAGUUGGAGAGAGCACAAUUGGCCUUGCUCUUUCCCAACAUCACUUGAAUUGUGAUCCUGGCUGCCACAGGUUAUUGUAUCAGAGCUGGCAAUCUGUGAUUUCUUGCGUAGUGGUUGGUGUGGUGCAGUGGAUAACACCACCGCCUGCCAGUAAGCUACCAUGUGGGAGCCUGGGGUUCAAUUCCAGGUCUGGGUGACUAUGCUGUGCUACACCAAUAAGAGUUCUUGGGAAGACUCCUAAUAAUACAUUGGUCCAACUCUGUAAUAGAACUAACCUUGUCAGUCGCUCUGGACAAGGGCAUCAGCUAAAUGCUGUAAAUGUGAAAAGUAAAUGUUCUUCCAAGCAUGUUACCUGGACAGGGCAUCCAAGCCGUUGAAGAGCCUUUAUUUUUAAGAUUAAAGUGUAAAAGGAACUCCUUGUUUGCUUAAGAUUGGCCAUAGCCAGUCACCUCCUCUAGAUCUGUCUGCAUAAUGCCUAUUUCUGAUGGAUGAUGCAUGUAUGUGUGCCACAAAUGCUUCACACAAAUUGUGAUGAUGGAGAUUGCAAACAAAGCACAAGUUUACUAACCACACGAUAACAUGCAACUGCCUUUGAUGCAACUGCAGUUUAAUGCUUCUGUCUUGCGACUAACAACCAGCCUUAUUCUCUUCCAUCUCUCCUCUUCUGUUUCAUGACUGUGGAUAACUUAUUUUACUUUAUUCCCAUGGUUAUGUAUUGAGAUGCCAAAAGAACAAUAUAGGAGGGAGAUAGGAAGAUGUUACUAACAGAUAUUAACCAACUAACUGCAUUAAAACCUCUCUCUAACUUCCUUCUUUCUUUCCAUUACUAUUCCUUCCUGUCUUCAGUGCUGCUGUUGACUUCUAUUCUUUUGUGCAUGUUUGUGCAGAUGGUGGUGGAUGAAAUUGCUUUGGUUGUAUAAAUGAAAAUGACAGACUAAUCUACUUCUAAAGCCUGGAAAACACUACAUGAUUUUUAGUCCAAUUUUAGUCCAACCCCUCAUUUAUCCUUGAUUUGGUUCUGGAGAUGAAGGAGCAAUUUGGGGUGUAGGAGAAAAUUUAAGGCACAGUUUCCCAUCUAGGGUUUAAGUCUAGUCCUGGACUUAAAAGCAUUUUGAUACUAUUAAAAAGAUAAAUAGUCUAUGUUUAGGCUUAAUACAUGUUUUUGGAAAUAGGCCCUGUGUGUGAAAUAUGUUCCAGUUUUUUACAUUUAUUAGGAUUUAAAAUGUCCUGUGGUGUUUACCAGGUUUAGGCCCAAUCCCAUUUCACCCCUUGGCCCUACCCCUUACCCCUACCCCUCUGUUUUGCGCGUUCACAUGGCCAAAUUCUUCAUAACAAGCAAGAUCGCUAGUAGUUUGCAUUAGUAGCUAGCUAGCUAACUUUCCUGUUCCUGUUCAACUUUCCAAGCACUCCUGAAGAUGUAUCUGGUGCUUAAAGGGUUGUCCCAAUUCUAAGGGUGGAGGAUUUCACCCCUUACCCUUCUAACUCUGUUUCAAAAGGAAAACGUGAUAUACUCGAAAAGAAGGGGUAGGGGUAAAACGUAGGACCAAGGGGUGAAAUGGGAUUGGGCCUUAAUAUUACUGCUAAUAUUACUGCUAUUACUGCUGCCAGCUAGUAUCAGGUAGCUCUACUAACUUGUGAAACUCGGAUCUUUCCUUCUACUAACCAGUGCACUCUGUAGCUUGUUCAUGCAGAAUUACUCAUGUAUGUUCUAACCAUGUGAAGAUGGUCCCAUCAUACUGUGUCUUUAAUCGUUUUGUCCUUAAACUUACGGAACAAAAGGUGAAACUGCAACAGCAUUUGUUCAAAAUUCAUAUUUAUUGGUAUAUAUAAAUUCAGCAUGAAUGCAGCUGAUCAGUGCAGUUUUUGAUGAGUUCUACUGCAAGUCAAACUACAAGACAAUAUUAAUGCACUCUGUUGUUGCAGUUUUACCAGUACAUACUCAGAUGGAGUGUGGAAAAGGAGUUAUGAGGCUUUCUUUGGGAUAACCAUGAGCCAAGCACUAACUACACUAACACUAACUAAUACACUAAUAACUAACUAAUACUAACAACAACUAACCAACUAACAGACUAAACGGAUUCUAACACAUUAACCGGUAAAGCAAAAUAUACACAAAUCUGCUGCUGUGUGUUCUUCUACUCUUCUAGUUUAUCACUUUCAGUGUUCCAGCCCACCAAAUGUCUGUGUUGAUGAUGAUAAUCAUCAUAUAAAACUGUUAGAAGGUGAGUGUUGUAAGAGGCAUGCCAAAGCAAUGCAAGUGUAACUCAGGGAGAGAGUCUUGUUGGCCUUAACAUGAGUUUGUGGUGUUAUUUUAUUGUGAAAUAUAUUUUGAUAUUACAAUGUGUAAAUAUUUGAUUAAAUUUAAACUAAUGUUUAAAUGUCUUUUAAAGAUAUCUUGGUUGUGUUGUUCUCCUUGUUGCAUAUUACCUCCGUUAGGCCUGUCAUAAAAAUCACAAUAUUGACUUAUUCUACGAUAAUUGUACAUGACUCGUAUGUAACUGAGCUAUGUAUUUUUUAUUUAUUUAUGUUUUUCUCAGCAACGACAGUCUAUUAAAAUAAAAGAGCUAGUAUUGAAAAUA
This is a long non-coding RNA of Astyanax mexicanus (Mexican tetra), 4818 nucleotides long. RefSeq lists it as uncharacterized. The transcript is spliced from 4 exons. The record is from RefSeq and is a predicted model, not a curated record. NCBI's taxonomy places the organism in Eukaryota, Metazoa, Chordata, Actinopteri, Characiformes, Acestrorhamphidae.